UUCAUUUGAAUCGGCGUGGGGUGGAUGGAAGCAGCCCGACGCAGCUCCCGCAUCCCGGCCCCCCUCCCCACCACGGCUCGUGGCGGCGCCCCUCCCUUGGCCAUGGCGGACAUCCCAGCGUGGCGACAUCGCCCUGCUCUGCUCGGGACAAGCCCUGCUCUGCUCGAGACAAGCCCCAUGGGCCGCCUCAUCAGCAGGCGGACACAGCGCGUCGCCGUUAGCUGGCCAGCCAUCCUGGUCGGGCGAUCCCCUUCCCGGGCGUGGCCGAUCGACAACCAGGCAUGGCGGCCCCCGGUAGUGGCGCAUCCCGCAUCCAGCAGGGACGACAUCCCAGCAGCACAUCACGACCAUGGAAGUCCAGCACAGAUGCAGUUUCGAGCACCAUCCCUCCACCUCUGCCUCCCCACGUCCCUCCUCCUCAAGAAUCUGGCGGCUGCCAUCGAGCUCGACGACAGCGGCGGCCUCAUGGUCUCUUGCCCCACGGGCAUGACAAAUCACGGAGGAGACAAGGUUCAGAUUUGGCGUCACCAGCAAUCAAGAUGUCAACGAGUGGUGGCAGGUCCCUCUCGAUCUGAUCCUGAGCUCCAUCCAGGCAUCGUCAUGGCCAAAUAUCCUCAUGGUGGCAACACUAGAAAGGAGCUUCCUGUACAUAACGAAGAGCUUCCAAUAUCCACUACCUAUACAUAGAAGCUCCCCAAGGUGAUGCUCCUCGGAUCUGAGCCUCCUCAAUCCUCUCUUUUUUUUCUGAUUUCAUAUGCAUACUGCGGGACCUAAGCAAAUCAAGGAGCUAAUGAAUGUGCAUUGCCUAAACACUGAACUAAAACCCAAUCUUCAGCAACUAGCAAGUCAGGAUUUGUAUGCCUUGCUAGUGCUCCACGAAAUGCCUAAAAGAAUCACCAAUGCGUGCAAGUAAUGUUUUCUAUGCAUUUGAUUUUGAUUUUUAUAUUUGAAAGUAAUAAAUUUUGAAAUGUGUUUUAAUGCCUUUUUCAUACGUACAAGGCGAUUCAGACCUGUAUGGGUUUUUAUGCGAGUUUUUAUACAUAUCAAACAUGACAAGUGAAUAGCUUUAAAAUUACCCAUCAUUUGUGAACUAUAUGAGACCAUGUUUUUUAUGCAAAUGUUUUCUAUGCAACCUUGCUUGUGUUUCCAUACUUUGUUGCGUAGGUGUCUUUUUUAAGUUGCAGACAAAAACAAUUCUUGUGUUUCCAUUUUUCUUGUUGUGAUUUUUGCAUUAAUGUCAUAGACAUUAAUUUUAUGAAUAGCUGAAUAGGUUUCUGCGUCUGCUAAAACAUGUUUCUAUGUCUUUCUUGUAGUCUGAGUGGAAGUAGACGACAUUAAGGUGCACGGUGAACAUGUUUCUCAUAAUCUAAUAUGGAUUUCAUUCGUUAUUUCUAUCCUUCUUGAGCUAAUUGUGUAAGCAAGCAACCAUUGGUUUUUGUUUGAACAAGAAUGGCUUAUUUCUCGUAAUAUAAUGUUUCACUGUUAGUUAUUCAUGCUUAAAACAACUGCUGGUAGCAUAGCCGACAUGCGGCAACAUACUUAAAAGAUGAUGUGUACAAAUAGCCUAUCUCUGCAUGCUCAGAGUUUUGAAGCAAGCAGUGCAUACCAGUUUUUACACAUACUAAUAUAAGGAUGUUUUAUGUGCGUUGUCAGAUGAUUCAGUGCUAAAAAAUACAUAGUUCAGCACAUAUUGAGAAUCUUUAUAGACUGGCUAUCUAUUUGCAUUUUUUAUGUGAUAAUCACCAGAUGACCAGACUGAAAUUAACAACAAAAAAAGGGCAAAAAAGGUAUUAUUUGUGCUUUCAAUUCUAGACCUUCUGAAACACCAGGCAUUAUAAAUCUCAGACACCAAGGUCAAAUUCAGUUUUAUACUGGAAGGCGAAACCAUACUGGAAGUUGAAACCAGACUUCUAUGCAUCCUAAAACAUGUUUACAUGCUAUUAAAAUAUGUAUCUUGUCUUUCUUACAAUUUUUUUGUGCAUGAUAAAACAUGAUUCUAUGCAGCUUUUGGUCGACAGCUCCUCCUCCGGUGAGCUUCACAGCAGGAGGCUCCGCGUGCGCAGCCUGUGUCACAGCAGGAAGCUCGGCGCACGCGUCCGGCUUCAUAGGAGGAGGUUCGGCGUGGGGCGGACGGAAGCAGACCGACGCAACUCCCUGACAUCUCACUGCUCCCUCCACUAUCUAUACAUACGAAGCUCUCUAAGGCCAAGGAGGCCAUCGCCGCGGUCCUCAAGGAUGUCCUCCUCGACGACGACGACGCUGAGGAUCAAUUCAACAACGGUAGCAAGGCAUUGCAUCUAGGAUGGUUGGAAGGAUUGCUCUACUUUGGUGUGAGGUCAAUGGUGGCUCGAACAUCAUAGGACAUGACUUGCGACGUUCACAACUUCCUUGGCUUGUGACGGUGGCGUAGUGUGAUAUUCGAUAUAGUUGAUGGGUUAAUGUAAAAAGUUAGUUUUCCAUAUGCUGUGUUUAUAUGCUUAGAUGAUAUGAGCGAAACUAUUGAUUUCUAUGUAACCUCUAUUGGGUUCCAAUAUUUGGUUAACUGAGUGUCUAUGCAUGUUGUGAGUUGGGAACAUUAUGGAUAGUCCACACUAGUAUGUAGUGUUUUGUAUGUUUCAUUCACUUAAAAGGAAGUAUGGUGUAAAGUUUCUAUA
Long non-coding RNA from Sorghum bicolor (sorghum), 2654 nucleotides. RefSeq lists it as uncharacterized. The record is from RefSeq and is a predicted model, not a curated record. The transcript has 4 exons. Lineage: Eukaryota; Viridiplantae; Streptophyta; Magnoliopsida; Poales; Poaceae.